This is a long non-coding RNA of Rhipicephalus sanguineus (brown dog tick), 436 nucleotides long. RefSeq lists it as uncharacterized. Lineage: Eukaryota; Metazoa; Arthropoda; Arachnida; Ixodida; Ixodidae. The record is from RefSeq and is a predicted model, not a curated record. The transcript has 2 exons.
AGUGGGCCAGGCAGCAGCAAACCGGACGGAAUGCUCAGCAACCCUUUCUGCUUUGUAAUACAGGUUGAUGAUUACUGAUCAGCUUACUCCUACAGCAGUGAUGACCGGUUCUUAUUGCUGCUGCCCUGCCCACAUUUUUUUAAAGAUAAUUUUGUGCGCCUUUCUUCUGUUGUCACAAACUUGUUGGUAUGUGGUAAUAUCGAGUCGAAUCCAGGUCCCACUGAAAAGAAUCUGCUUACGCAGCUAUUAGCCGGCCAAAAUAAAAUUAGUGCUACCGUAGAAAAUAUUGAAGCCAAUUAAAAGAAAUUAGAGAGCAAGAUUACUACCCUAACUCAAAGGAUAAAUGGAAUAGAACAGCAGCUUUCAAGCCUUAAGAAAUUACCAACUCAAGUAAAUGACAUGGAGAAGGUUAUUUCACAUCAGGCUGCUGCAUUAG